RNAcentral lists this ribosomal RNA (446 nucleotides) under uncultured bacterium. RNAcentral describes it as "bacterial SSU rRNA". It matches the Rfam family "Bacterial small subunit ribosomal RNA", at positions 28 to 490 of the family's 1533-position model. The record is from RNAcentral.
GACGAACGCUGGCGGCGUGCUUAACACAUGCAAGUCGAGCGACGCUCCUCCUUCGGGAGGAUGACGGAGCGGCGAACGGGUGAGUAACACGUGGGCAACCUGCCCCUAGCUCUGGGAUAAGCCCGGGAAACCGGGUCUAAUACCGGAUAUGAGUUCGGAAGGCAUCUUCUGACCUGGAAAGUUUUUCGGCUAGGGAUGGGCCCGCGGCCUAUCAGCUUGUUGGUGAGGUAACGGCCCACCAAGGCGACGACGGGUAGCCGGCCUGAGAGGGCGACCGGCCACACUGGGACUGAGACACGGCCCAGACUCCUACGGGAGGCAGCAGUGGGGAAUAUUGCACAAUGGGCGAAAGCCUGAUGCAGCGACGCCGCGUGAGGGAUGACUGCCUUCGGUUGUAAACCUCUUCAGCAGGGACGAAGCGAAAGUGACGGUACCUGCAGAAGAAG